This 1068-nucleotide ribosomal RNA is filed under the name Triticum aestivum (bread wheat). Its description in RNAcentral is "partial small subunit ribosomal RNA". Lineage: Eukaryota; Viridiplantae; Streptophyta; Magnoliopsida; Poales; Poaceae. The record is from RNAcentral.
AUGGCCAGCAGAGGCAAGCUGAUGUGGAAAUCAGAGUCAUCUAUAAGAGGUCUGGGUGCAGAAAAAGGGAAGAAUGCAGAUGAAGAAGUGACAGCAAAAUUCAGAAAGUUGAACCUGGCAGCUGGAGAGGAUGAGAAGCUGAUAAUGUCAGAUGAUGAGGAAGAUGAAGAUGAACCAAAAGUCUUCUCUGUUAUCGGUAAAGUCUUAUCUCCAAGCACUCUUCAAUUGCAGACUAUCAUGGGAGCUAUGAAACCAGCUUCGGGAAAUCCAAAAGGGCUAAGAGCAAGAAUGGUGGGGGAUAACGUAUUCAUUGUGGAUUUCAUGACGGAGGCAGACAAAGAGAGGGCACUAGAUGGAACCCCAUGGCUUGUAGGGCGCCAUGCAGUGCUCUUGAAAGAGUUUGAGAAGAAUCUUAGACCCUUAGAUGUGCGUUUUGAGUCAAUGCAUAUUUGGGUCAGGAUCAUAAACAUACUUUUUAAGUGGAUGAACAAAAAGAAAGGAUGGAAGGUAGCGGGUCUUGCAGGCAAAGUUGAUAAAUUAGAUGUUGACGAAUUUGGCGAUGCUGCAGGUAAAUAUCUUAGAGCAAGAGUGGAAAUCCCAAUUGAGAAACCAUUGAAGAGGUAUAUCACAAUUGAAACUUCAGAAGGUGAUGAAUACUACGAUCUACAAUAUGAGAAGUUGCCUUUCUUCUGCUUCUCAUGUGGCAUUAUGGGGCAUUCUGAAUUAGAAUGUCAAAACCCUUCAGGAAGAGAUGCAGAAGGUAAAUGGGAAUAUGAUAAUUCAAUAAGAGCCCCAGAAGAGAGGAGGAGGAGAAUUCAAUCCUUUGCACAAGCAGCGGCAACUUCAGAUUGGAGUGGAUCUUCAUACCGAAGUGAUUCUCAUUCCAGUUCUAAAGGAAAAUCCACGGAGCAAUCUAAUAGUCAGACCUUUGAGAAGGAAAAAUGUAUCCCAGGAGAAGUGUCGAGCCCUUCGGAGAAAAUGGGCAUAGGUAAGGGUGGAGGUGUCCAAAAUAGCAACACUUGCAUGACUCUUUUUACAAGUCAAGCUCAGGAUAUAAGUGUAACAUGA